UUGAAGAGUUUGAUCAUGGCUCAGAUUGAACGCUGGCGGCAGGCCUAACACAUGCAAGUCGGGCGGUAACACAGGGAGCUUGCUCCCGGGUGACGAGCGGCGGACGGGUGAGUAAUGUCUGGGAAACUGCCUGAUGGAGGGGGAUAACUACUGGAAACGGUAGCUAAUACCGCAUAACGUCGCAAGACCAAAGAGGGGGACCUUCGGGCCUCUUGCCAUCAGAUGUGCCCAGAUGGGAUUAGCUAGUAGGUGGGGUAACGGCUCACCUAGGCGACGAUCCCUAGCUGGUCUGAGAGGAUGACCAGCCACACUGGAACUGAGACACGGUCCAGACUCCUACGGGAGGCAGCAGUGGGGAAUAUUGCACAAUGGGCGCAAGCCUGAUGCAGCCAUGCCGCGUGUAUGAAGAAGGCCUUCGGGUUGUAAAGUACUUUCAGCGGGGAGGAAGGUGUUGUGGUUAAUAACCACAGCAAUUGACGUUACCCGCAGAAGAAGCACCGGCUAACUCCGUGCCAGCAGCCGCGGUAAUACGGAGGGUGCAAGCGUUAAUCGGAAUUACUGGGCGUAAAGCGCACGCAGGCGGUCUGUCAAGUCGGAUGUGAAAUCCCCGGGCUCAACCUGGGAACUGCAUUCGAAACUGGCAGGCUAGAGUCUUGUAGAGGGGGGUAGAAUUCCAGGUGUAGCGGUGAAAUGCGUAGAGAUCUGGAGGAAUACCGGUGGCGAAGGCGGCCCCCUGGACAAAGACUGACGCUCAGGUGCGAAAGCGUGGGGAGCAAACAGGAUUAGAUACCCUGGUAGUCCACGCCGUAAACGAUGUCGACUUGGAGGUUGUGCCCUUGAGGCGUGGCUUCCGGAGCUAACGCGUUAAGUCGACCGCCUGGGGAGUACGGCCGCAAGGUUAAAACUCAAAUGAAUUGACGGGGGCCCGCACAAGCGGUGGAGCAUGUGGUUUAAUUCGAUGCAACGCGAAGAACCUUACCUACUCUUGACAUCCAGAGAACUUAGCAGAGAUGCUUUGGUGCCUUCGGGAACUCUGAGACAGGUGCUGCAUGGCUGUCGUCAGCUCGUGUUGUGAAAUGUUGGGUUAAGUCCCGCAACGAGCGCAACCCUUAUCCUUUGUUGCCAGCGGUCCGGCCGGGAACUCAAAGGAGACUGCCAGUGAUAAACUGGAGGAAGGUGGGGAUGACGUCAAGUCAUCAUGGCCCUUACGAGUAGGGCUACACACGUGCUACAAUGGCGCAUACAAAGAGAAGCGACCUCGCGAGAGCAAGCGGACCUCAUAAAGUGCGUCGUAGUCCGGAUUGGAGUCUGCAACUCGACUCCAUGAAGUCGGAAUCGCUAGUAAUCGUAGAUCAGAAUGCUACGGUGAAUACGUUCCCGGGCCUUGUACACACCGCCCGUCACACCAUGGGAGUGGGUUGCAAAAGAAGUAGGUAGCUUAACCUUCGGGAGGGCGCUUACCACUUUGUGAUUCAUGACUGGGGUGAAGUCGUAACAAGGUAACCGUAGGGGAACCUGCGGUUGGAUCACCUCCUU
This 1536-nucleotide ribosomal RNA is filed under the name Enterobacter cloacae. RNAcentral describes it as "bacterial SSU rRNA". It matches the Rfam family "Bacterial small subunit ribosomal RNA". The record is from RNAcentral. Lineage: Bacteria; Pseudomonadati; Pseudomonadota; Gammaproteobacteria; Enterobacterales; Enterobacteriaceae.